CAAAAUGGGCUGCUAAUCCCCAAGGCCAAGAUUAUGGUGCUAACAAAAGCUCUUCUCUUCAAUCCAACCUUCUCUUGCCCUUCUGAGCUACAUUCUUUGAAACCCACUUCACUUAUUCCUUCAAGACCGGUCUUAUUUUGUGGGAGUGAUUCCAAGGUUGGCGUGUCAAAGUCUACAACUGAGUUCGUCAAAAGGUCUGCGUUUAGGAGUGGCGAUGGUGAGAACAUUUUCAGAGUUUUUCAACGCGAAGCUUUUGUGAAGGACUUCAUUGAGUUUUGUCCUGGAUCCAUGGCUGAUGAAUUGGGAGCUACUCUCAAUCGUCUGUCCAAAUGGGUUGUAUCUUCCAUGUUCGCUGUUGUGCUUAUAUGGAGGCAUGAUGCUGCGUCUUUGUGGCUUGCUAUGGGAUCUGUUGUAAAUUUUAUCCUCUGUGUAAGACUCAAGCGGAUAUUCAACCAACAGAGACCUCUUUCUACAUUGAAAUCUGACCCAGGGAUGCCAUCUUCGCAUGCGCAAUCCAUUUUCUACAUUUCUAUGGUCUCCGUUCUGUCAAUUAUAGAAACAUUUGGAGCAAAUGAAAUUACGUUUAUCGUAGCUGCUCUUGCAUUGGCGUGCGGCUCAUAUCUUUCAUGGCUGCGGGUUUCACAACAAUUUCACACAACAAGCCAAGUGGUUGUUGGUGCUGCCGUUGGGUCAAUUUUCUCCAUUUUGUG
This 710-nucleotide unclassified non-coding RNA is filed under the name Hevea brasiliensis (rubber tree). Lineage: Eukaryota; Viridiplantae; Streptophyta; Magnoliopsida; Malpighiales; Euphorbiaceae. The record is from RNAcentral.